CUGCACAAUAAAAACGAAAAUCAGGAUUAAAGACAUUUAAUUUCCUUAAAACUGUCAUCGAGAGUUGAAAUCCACUAUUUUGAGAUCUUAAGGGCAAUGGAAAUGCAGGGAAUUUUGCAAGAAUGAAAAAGAACUCCAUCCUAGUUUGAAAUAUGGAAAGGAUUUCGAAUUAAUCAAGUUUAAAAUAGGUCAUACACUGCAGAAGAAAUCAAGCCAUGAAGGACGUCGGCAUCUCUUGCCGUUAUUAACAUUUGACAUUUCCCUGAGAGACUAUCAAAAACGUUAGCAUAUUCAACAUUCCAUACAUCAUCAAGGACGACUAAGGUGCUUUCAUUUACCUUAAAAUAUAAAGUAUGGUUUGUAAGGUGAAUGUGAUAUGAACUUUUUUCAUUUUUAAUUUUCAAUGUUUGUCUACAUAACUUUAAACGUGCUCACGAAACUAACUGACUUUUUGUUAUUAAAUGAUAUUUUUACUGAAAA
Molecule: long non-coding RNA, 480 nt
Organism: Xenia sp. Carnegie-2017
Lineage: Eukaryota; Metazoa; Cnidaria; Anthozoa; Malacalcyonacea; Xeniidae
Exons: 3
Source: RefSeq, a predicted model, not a curated record